Molecule: transfer RNA, 74 nt
Filed under: uncultured archaeon
Lineage: Archaea
Description: tRNA-Gly(tcc)
Rfam family: tRNA
About the family: Transfer RNA (tRNA) molecules are approximately 80 nucleotides in length. Their secondary structure includes four short double-helical elements and three loops (D, anti-codon, and T loops).
Source: RNAcentral
UGCGCCGGUAGUAUAAUGGUUAGUAUACUAGCCCUCCAAGCUAGCUAUCCGGGUUCAACUCCCGGCCGACGCAU